Coturnix japonica (Japanese quail) is the source of this 400-nucleotide long non-coding RNA. RefSeq lists it as uncharacterized. The record is from RefSeq and is a predicted model, not a curated record. NCBI's taxonomy places the organism in Eukaryota, Metazoa, Chordata, Aves, Galliformes, Phasianidae.
GAUAUGCAUCUGGUGAGGUUAAGAAGAGAUUCUGCUAAUGCUCAGCUGGCAGACUGUGUAACAGGAAAUGUUUGAUGCUUCAGCUACAUACAGCAAGUUCUGCCUGGAUUAUGGUAAUAGGGAAAUUGUAGCCUGUCCCACUUUUAAUAGAAACCUCAAGAUGGAAUUGCCAGUGUGAUUUGUUUUAUGGGAAGACUCACAAGCCUACAGUUCCUCUGACAAGAUAUUAUUGCAACUGAAAAAUGACACCUUGUGACACUACCACGACUUGCUAUUGGUAACGUAUACAGUUUUUAAUUUUUUAAAUGAUUGCCUGACAAAUAUCUUAUGAGCAUGAAAUGGUGAUUUUUUAAUAUCUAAGUAUUUGCUAUGCAAAACAAAGAACAAAGAGGAAGGUUGA